UAAGCGUGAAGCCCCCCUCGAGAUGAGAUUUCCCAUUGCUUCGGCAAGUAAGACCCCUGAGAGAUGAUCAGGUAGAUAGGUUGGAAGUGGAAGUACAGCGAUGUAUGGAGCGGACCAAUACUAAUCGGUCGAGGACUUAACCAA
Molecule: ribosomal RNA, 144 nt
Filed under: Carnobacterium divergens
Lineage: Bacteria; Bacillati; Bacillota; Bacilli; Lactobacillales; Carnobacteriaceae
Description: partial 23S ribosomal RNA
Rfam family: Bacterial large subunit ribosomal RNA
Source: RNAcentral